UUUUCUUUACCUUUUUGAAAUUUGUCUGUGUCUUUUCCCCAUUUCAUUUGGCGGUAUUGUUUGGAUAAGGCAGAGAUGAGAGAGCGAGAGAGGGGAAGAGGCGCUCGAGCGGUGAAGGAGCGGAGGCGAUUCCCGUCAUUCAUGUCGAUUCUGAGAUCCCCUUCCCUUCGAGCUUGAUUUCUCCUCCCUUGCUCUUCGUUCCUCGGCUGCCCCAGUUGGUUGUUCUCUUCUCUCUCUCUCUCUUCCCCGUGUGAUCUAGGUUUCUCCUCCGUUUCUGCUAGUUUCGAUUCGAGAUCCAUGUAUGUUCUGGUGUUUGAUUGAUGGAUUGUGUAUGUUCUUGCCCGUGUUUGGUGUAUGUGCUCUUGUAGAUUUUUCCCAUGGCUCCCGAUGUGUUUGUGUAAGUUCUAUGAAAUUGAUGUGGUUCCUCUGCUUAGGUUUUUAGCUCUUUCAUGUCUGAAUCCCCUCGGGUGUAGGCGCUGGUAUGUGUUUCGUUUCCUGUAGUCGCUGGUAGGGGUCUAGAUUUAGGGUUUCCGUUGGGUUUUGUUCUGGUUGGAGUAUGAUUCGUGUGUAAUGCUUCAUGUGUUUGGGUUAGUGAUUUUGCUCUAGUGGGAGUCUCUGUAAUGCUUAAUGUGUCUCGUCCUUGGGAGUAUGAUUCUUCAGUGGAUGUCCCUGAUUGUGCUAUUCUGUAAUCUCAUGUGUUCUAGCCCUGCAAUUGCCCCCUAUGUUUUCAGUCUUAGAUCCCUCCAGUAUUAGAGUGUAAGGUUAGGUUCAAGUGUUAUUAGUCAUGUAUUUGGCAGCAUUUUCCAUGUGCUUACCCGGUAAUAUUUAUCUGAUUUUGCGGUGUAAUUCCCAUGCUUAGUGCCUGUAUUUUGUGGAAUUACACUAUAUUACUUCUUUGCACUGUAAUAUUUAUCUGAUUUUGUGGUGUAAUUCCCAUAUUUAGUGCUUGUAUUUUGUAGAAUUACACUGUAUUACUUCUUUGCACUGUAAUUCACCUGAUUUGCAGUGUAAUUCCCAUGCUCAGUCAUUAUAUUUUUUUAGUUAUAUUACAGUGUAUUUACCUCAGAAUUCCACUGUACUUCUGAUGAAUUUCAUGUAGGCUUCUUCAUCACACUGUAUUAUUCCCUUGAUUUACUGUGUAAUUCCCAUGCUUAGUAACUAUUUUUUUGGAUAUAUUAAUGUGUAAUAUUCCCAUAUUUACGUUUUGUAGUUCCCUUGCUUCAAAUUUGUAAUUAUGGUUGUACUGUAAUUCCCAUGCCCAGUCAUUGUAUUUUUUAGUUAUAGUGAAGUGUAAUUUUCCUCAGGUUUCUUGUGUAACUCCCAUGAUUUUCAUGUAUGCUUCUUCAUCACUCUGUAAUAUUUCUCUGAUUUACUCUGUAAUUCCAAUGCUUAGUCACUGUAUUUUUUGGAUAUAUUAUGGUGUAAUGUACCCAUAUUGUAAUUCCAAUGCCUCAUUUUUGUAGUAAAGCUCAUAUUGUAAUUCCCAUGCAUCGUCACUGUAAUUUUCAGCUAUAUUACAGUGUAAUAUGGCCUAGUAUUACAGUGUAAUUUUGGGGUAUUGUACUCUGUAUUUGCCAUGCUUCUCCUAUGUAAUUCCUGUACAACAUUAGUGCGUCUUAUUUGCAACCAUAUAGGUCCUGAUAAGUUUUCUUAUUCUUUGUUGUUAAUGUAGUAUUUGAUUUAGGAUUUAUGUAGCAUUGUUUAAGAGUGUUUUGGUUUUGUAGUUUGAGGAGGGUCCUGGCAACCAGUUUUUUCAUGUUUAAUGGGUAGGCUAUGGAAAGUCUAUCAUUAGGGCGUUCCGUUAGCAUCUUCUUUUGAGAGUGCAGAUUGUUUUGCUGACGAACCAUUUGCGCCUGUCAACGGUAGCUAUUUCUUUCUUUUUCUCUACUUUUUUUCAAUUAUUAUUUCUUGAAGUCUGUUUAUUUAUUUUGUCUCUGUUGUAUUUUGCAUUUUUCAGGAACUUUCAGGUGAUGAAGCAGACUUUGACCAAGCUCUUUUCAAGUUUUAUGUGAACCAAGCUCAUUAUUUCUCUUUUUUGCUUGUUGUUCUUGAGGAUGCUACUGUAGCCACUAAAAAUCCAACCAAUUUUGAGUAGAAAUUCAUAUAUGCCUGGGCUUCUUCUUUUGUUUUGAACUACAUGCCUAACUGUGGCUUAAAAUUGCUGCUGGUGUUCAUAAGAUUGCCUUCUGAUGCAGUCUCUUGUUCAUUUUGCAGGAACCUCUCAAUGUCUUCUUCAUCGAGGUAUUCAUUGUCUGCGUCUUGUUCAUGUGAGUCCUCCGUUUCUCCCCUUUGUCCUUCUUGAUUUAUCUGGUUUGUGUUUGACUUUGAUUUAUUUGUUGUGGAACUAGGGUCAGUAUCUUCAGGGACCUGCAAAAUUAUUCUUUUUGUGUCCGUUUUAAUUUUCAAACAGGUUUGUACAAAUACGUUCAUAUUCUAUUUGUGACUUUGAUUUAUCUAUUUAUGUGGCUACCUGUUCCAAACUGAUGUUGUCAAACAUGUGUGCCUCCCAGGGAUUAGGUUCUGUUGUGCCUUCUUCGCUUGCUGUAGCUUCAUGAUGCAUUUCCUGCAAUGUCUGCAGUGUAAGUGAGAUGUUACUUUCUCUCUUUUUUCUCAGUUCAGAUAUGAGUUAUUCAGUACUAGUUUUCCUCUCCAUCUUGUGUAAUGUUUGCAGCACCAUCUCCCGAAUGUACCCGUGAGCGUCAUGAUUUCUUUUAAUUUAAAACUUCUCCUUCUCACAGAUUUGUAGCUAUGCAGUAUUUGAAUUUCCAUUUUACCUUGUAGAUAAUGUCUGAAUUGAGGAGCGCUGUGAAUGAAAAUGAUUCCCGCAAAAAAAAAUUUGUUAGCAUGAAUGUAUUGUAUAUAGCAUUUUCCUCUAUUGAUUUUUGCAAUCAAUUUGCUAGUAUUUAUACAUGUCUCACAUUUAGAAUGAGUUCUUCUUGUGACAUUGACAGUAGAUCCUCUCCAGUCACUCUUCCUAUCAUGCUCCCCAUCUGCAAUAUUGAAGAUUAAAUGUGAGAGAAUUUUAAUUUUGUAAGCGGCAAACUGUUAUCAGUGAUAGCUCUUUUCUCUGCAUGUAUUUCCUAAGCAGAAAACUGUCAAUAUUAACUUUUUAAGCUCCAAACUACAAAUCAUUUUUUAAGGAGCAAAGUGUGAGUUCCUGGUUUUGGACACUGUAAAUCCUGGGUGGCAUGAGGUGUUUUUACAGUGUAAAUCGGUAGUUUGAAUGGUAAAUGUUGGGUGCUUACUAUGUUUAUACAAUGUAAAUUCCAAGGUCUUUGGACUGUAUUUGUAAUGUAUUAAGAAUGUAAAUUCCAGUGCCAUUAUACUGAAUUUACAGUGUAGAUAUAUGCAUUUUUACAGUGUAAAUUCCAGGGUUUUAGUACUGAAUUUACAGUGCUAAAACUUGGGUAUUUACCUUUACCGUGUAAUUAUAGGGCCAUUAUACUGAAUUUACAGUGUAAAUACUUGUGUAUUUACAGUGUAAUUACAGGGCCAUUGUACUGAAUUUACAGUGUAAAUACUUGGGUAUUUACAGUGUAGUUACAGUACAAAGGCCCUGAAUAUCUUGGGUAUUUACACUGUAAAUUCAUGCAUUUGUACACUGUAUGUUGUAGGGUUUUGCAUUAUAUUUACAGUGUAAUUUCCAGGGCCAUUGUAUUGAAUUUACAGUGUAGUUACAGGGUCAUUGUACUGAAUUUCAUGUAGGCUUCUUCAUCACACUGUAUUAUUCCCUUGAUUUACUGUGUAAUUCCCAUGCUUAGUAACUAUUUUUUUGGAUAUAUUAAUGUGUAAUAUUCCCAUAUUUACGUUUUGUAGUUCCCUUGCUUCAAAUUUGUAAUUAUGGUUGUACUGUAAUUCCCAUGCCCAGUCAUUGUAUUCUUUAGUUAUAGUGAAGUGUAAUUUUCCUCAGGUUUCUUGUGUAACUCCCAUGAUUUUCAUGUAUGCUUCUUCAUCACUCUGUAAUAUUUCUCUGAUUUACUCUGUAAUUCCAAUGCUUAGUCACUGUAUUUUUUGGAUAUAUUAUGGUGUAAUGUACCCAUAUUGUAAUUCCAAUGCCUCAUUUUUGUAGUAAAGCUCAUAUUGUAAUUCCCAUGCAUCGUCUCUGUAAUUUUCAGCUAUAUUACAGUGUAAUAUGGCCUAGUAUUACAGUGUAAUUUUGGGGUAUUGUACUCUGUAUUUGCCAUGCUUCUCCUAUGUAAUUCCUGUACAACAUUAGUGCGUCUUAUUUGCAACCAUAUAGGUCCUGAUAAGUUUUCUUAUUCUUUGUUGUUAAUGUAGUAUUUGAUUUAGGAUUUAUGUAGCAUUGUUUAAGAGUGUUUUGGUUUUGUAGUUUGAGGAGGGUCCUGGCAACCAGUUUUUUCAUGUUUAAUGGGUAGGCUAUGGAAAGUCUAUCAUUAGGGCGUUCCGUUAGCAUAUUCUUUUGAGAGUGCAGAUUGUUUUGCUGACGAACCAUUUGCGCCUGUCAACGGUAGCUAUUUCUUUCUUUUUCUCUACUUUUUUUCAAUUAUUAUUUCUUGAAGUCUGUUUAUUUAUUUUGUGUCUAUUGUAUUUUGCAUUUUUCAGGAACUUUCAGGUGAUGAAGCAGACUUUGACCAAGCUCUUUUCAAGUUUUAUGUGAACCAAGCUCAUUAUUUCUCUUUUUUGCUUGUUGUUCUUGAGGAUGCUACUGUAGCCACUAAAAAUCCAACCAAUUUUGAGUAGAAAUUCAUAUAUGCCUGGGCUUCUUCUUUUGUUUUGAACUACAUGCCUAACUGUGGCUUAAAAUUGCUGCUGGUGUUCAUAAGAUUGCCUUCUGAUGCAGUCUCUUGUUCAUUUUGCAGGAACCUCUCAAUGUCUUCUUCAUCGAGGUAUUCAUUGUCUGCGUCUUGUUCAUGUGAGUCCUCUGUUUCUCCCCUUUGUCCUUCUUGAUUUAUCUGGUUUGUGUUUGACUUUGAUUUAUUUGUUGUGGAACUAGGGUCGGUAUCUUCAGGGACCUGCAAAAUUAUUCUUUUUGUGUCCGUUUUAAUUUUCAAACAGGUUUGUACAAAUACGUUCAUAUUCUAUUUGUGACUUUGAUUUAUCUAUUUAUGUGGCUACCUGUUCCAAACUGAUGUUGUCAAACAUGUGUGCCUCCCAGGGAUUAGGUUCUGUUGUGCCUUCUUCGCUUGCUGUAGCUUCAUGAUGCAUUUCCUGCAAUGUCUGCAGUGUAAGUGAGAUGUUACUUUCUCUCUUUUUUCUCAGUUCAGAUAUGAGUUAUUCAGUACUAGUUUUCCUCUCCAUCUUGUGUAAUGUUUGCAGCACCAUCUCCCGAAUGUACCUGUGAGCAUCAUGAUUUCUUUUAAUUUAAAACUUCUCCUUCUCACAGAUUUGUAGCUAUGCAGUAUUUGAAUUUCCAUUUUACCUUGUAGAUAAUGUCUGAAUUGAGGAGCGCUGUGAAUGAAAAUGAUUCCCGCAAAACAUUUUUUGUUAGCAUGAAUGUAUUGUAUAUAGCAUUUUCCUCUAUUGGUUUUUGCAAUCAGUUUGCUAGUAUUUAUACAUGUCUCACAUUUAGAAUGAGUUCUUCUUGUGACAUUGACAGUAGAUCCUCUCCAGUCACUCUUCCUAUCAUGCUCCCCAUCUGCAAUAUUGAAGAUUAAAUGUGAGAGAAUUUUAAUUUUGUAAGCGGCAAACUGUUAUCAGUGAUAGCUCUUUUCUCUGCAUGUAUUUCCUAAGCAGAAAACUGUCAAUAUUAACUUUUUAAGCUCCAAACUACAAAUCAUUUUUUAAGGAGCAAAGUGUGAGUUCCUGGUUUUGGACACUGUAAAUCCUGGGUGGCAUGAGGUGUUUUUACAGUGUAAAUCGGUAGUUUGAAUGGUAAAUGUUGGGUGCUUACUAUGUUUAUACAAUGUAAAUUCCAAGGUCUUUGGACUGUAUUUGUAAUGUUUUUG
This 5906-nucleotide long non-coding RNA is filed under the name Triticum aestivum (bread wheat). RNAcentral's name for it is "long non-coding RNA (TAES_LNC001972)". The record is from RNAcentral. Lineage: Eukaryota; Viridiplantae; Streptophyta; Magnoliopsida; Poales; Poaceae.